AUCCGCCAUGCCGCGUGUGUGAAGAAGGCCUUAUGGUUGUAAAGCACUUUAAGCGAGGAGGAGGCUCUUUUGGUUAAUACCCUGAAUGAGUGGACGUUACUCGCAAAAUAAGCACCGGCUAACUCUGUGCCAGCAGCCGCGGUAAUACAAAGGGUGCAAGCGUUAAUCGAAUUUACUGGGCGUAAAGCGCGCGUAGGCGGCCGAUUAAGUCGAAUGUGAAAUCCCCGAGCUUAACUUGGGAAUUGCAUUCAAUACUGGUUGGCUAAAGUGUGGGAAAGGAUGGUAAAAUUCCAGGUGUACCGGUGAAAUGCGUAAAGAUCUGGAGGAAUACCGAUGGCAAAGGCACCCAUCUGGCCUAACACUGACCCUGAGGUGCAAAAGCAUGGGGAGCAAACAGGAUUAAAUACCCUGGUAGUCCAUGCCGUAAACAAUGUCUACUAGCCGUUGGGGCCUUUGAGGCUUUAGUGGCGCACCUAACCCCAUAAGUAGACCGCCUGGGGAGUACGGUCGCAAGACUAAAACUCAAAUGAAUUGACGGGGGCCCGCACAAGCGGUGGAGCAUGUGGUUUAAUUCGAUGCAACGCGAAAAACCUUACCUGGCCUUGACAUAGUAAAAACUUUCCAGAGAUGGAUUGGUGCCUUCGGGAAUCUACAUACAGGUGCUGCAUGGCUUGUCGA
This 678-nucleotide ribosomal RNA is filed under the name Acinetobacter schindleri. RNAcentral describes it as "bacterial SSU rRNA". It matches the Rfam family "Bacterial small subunit ribosomal RNA", at positions 387 to 1055 of the family's 1533-position model. The record is from RNAcentral. Lineage: Bacteria; Pseudomonadati; Pseudomonadota; Gammaproteobacteria; Moraxellales; Moraxellaceae.